RNAcentral lists this ribosomal RNA (1315 nucleotides) under Paenarthrobacter sp. Its description in RNAcentral is "bacterial SSU rRNA". It matches the Rfam family "Bacterial small subunit ribosomal RNA", at positions 93 to 1419 of the family's 1533-position model. The record is from RNAcentral. Lineage: Bacteria; Bacillati; Actinomycetota; Actinomycetes; Micrococcales; Micrococcaceae.
UAGUGGCGAACGGGUGAGUAACACGUGAGUAACCUGCCCUUGACUCUGGGAUAAGCCUGGGAAACUGGGUCUAAUACCGGAUAUGACCAUCUGACGCAUGUCAUGGUGGUGGAAAGCUUUUGUGGUUUUGGAUGGACUCGCGGCCUAUCAGCUUGUUGGUGGGGUAAUGGCCUACCAAGGCGACGACGGGUAGCCGGCCUGAGAGGGUGACCGGCCACACUGGGACUGAGACACGGCCCAGACUCCUACGGGAGGCAGCAGUGGGGAAUAUUGCACAAUGGGCGGAAGCCUGAUGCAGCGACGCCGCGUGAGGGAUGACGGCCUUCGGGUUGUAAACCUCUUUCAGUAGGGAAGAAGCGAAAGUGACGGUACCUGCAGAAGAAGCGCCGGCUAACUACGUGCCAGCAGCCGCGGUAAUACGUAGGGCGCAAGCGUUAUCCGGAAUUAUUGGGCGUAAAGAGCUCGUAGGCGGUUUGUCGCGUCUGCUGUGAAAGACCGGGGCUCAACUCCGGUUCUGCAGUGGGUACGGGCAGACUAGAGUGCAGUAGGGGAGACUGGAAUUCCUGGUGUAGCGGUGAAAUGCGCAGAUAUCAGGAGGAACACCGAUGGCGAAGGCAGGUCUCUGGGCUGUAACUGACGCUGAGGAGCGAAAGCAUGGGGAGCGAACAGGAUUAGAUACCCUGGUAGUCCAUGCCGUAAACGUUGGGCACUAGGUGUGGGGGACAUUCCACGUUUUCCGCGCCGUAGCUAACGCAUUAAGUGCCCCGCCUGGGGAGUACGGCCGCAAGGCUAAAACUCAAAGGAAUUGACGGGGGCCCGCACAAGCGGCGGAGCAUGCGGAUUAAUUCGAUGCAACGCGAAGAACCUUACCAAGGCUUGACAUGAACCGGAAAGACCUGGAAACAGGUGCCCCGCUUGCGGUCGGUUUACAGGUGGUGCAUGGUUGUCGUCAGCUCGUGUCGUGAGAUGUUGGGUUAAGUCCCGCAACGAGCGCAACCCUCGUUCUAUGUUGCCAGCGCGUUAUGGCGGGGACUCAUAGGAGACUGCCGGGGUCAACUCGGAGGAAGGUGGGGACGACGUCAAAUCAUCAUGCCCCUUAUGUCUUGGGCUUCACGCAUGCUACAAUGGCCGGUACAAAGGGUUGCGAUACUGUGAGGUGGAGCUAAUCCCAAAAAGCCGGUCUCAGUUCGGAUUGGGGUCUGCAACUCGACCCCAUGAAGUCGGAGUCGCUAGUAAUCGCAGAUCAGCAACGCUGCGGUGAAUACGUUCCCGGGCCUUGUACACACCGCCCGUCAAGUCACGAAAGUUGGUAACA